RNAcentral lists this ribosomal RNA (253 nucleotides) under uncultured bacterium. RNAcentral's name for it is "partial 16S ribosomal RNA". It matches the Rfam family "Bacterial small subunit ribosomal RNA", at positions 524 to 776 of the family's 1533-position model. The record is from RNAcentral.
UACGUAGGGUGCAAGCGUUAAUCGGAAUUACUGGGCGUAAAGCGUGCGUAGGCGGUGAUUUAAGUCUGCUGUGAAAUCCCCGGGCUCAACCUGGGAAUGGCAGUGGAUACUGGAUCGCUAGAGUGUGAUAGAGGAUGGUGGAAUUCCCGGUGUAGCGGUGAAAUGCGUAGAGAUCGGGAGGAACAUCAGUGGCGAAGGCGGCCAUCUGGAUCAACACUGACGCUGAGGCACGAAAGCGUGGGGAGCAAACAGG